AUUGAACGCUGGCGGCAGGCCUAACACAUGCAAGUCGAGCGAGCGGCGGACGGGUGAGUAAUGUCUGGGAAACUGCCUGAUGGAGGGGGAUAACUACUGGAAACGGUAGCUAAUACCGCAUACCAUCGGAUGUGCCCAGAUGGGAUUAGCUUGUUGGUGGGGUAACGGCGCACCCAGGCGACGAGCCCUAGCUGGUCUGAGAGGAUGAGCAGCCACACUGGAACUGAGACACGGCCCAGACUCCUACGGGAGGCAGCAGUGGGGAAUAUUGCACAAUGGGCGCAAGCCUGAUGCAGCCAUGCCGCGUGUAUGAAGAAGGCCUUCGGGUUGUAAAGCACUUUCAGCGGGGAGGCGUUACCCGCAGAAGAAGCACCGGCUAACUCCGUGCCAGCCGCCGCGGUAAUUC
Molecule: ribosomal RNA, 406 nt
Filed under: uncultured bacterium
Lineage: Bacteria
Description: partial 16S ribosomal RNA
Rfam family: Bacterial small subunit ribosomal RNA
Source: RNAcentral